Long non-coding RNA from Bactrocera tryoni, 1401 nucleotides. RefSeq lists it as uncharacterized. NCBI's taxonomy places the organism in Eukaryota, Metazoa, Arthropoda, Insecta, Diptera, Tephritidae. The transcript has 3 exons. The record is from RefSeq and is a predicted model, not a curated record.
AAGGUCAUUAAACUUUUCAUGCUUUUAACUGUGUGUUUUUGUGGUAAUCUGACAAAGGAUACUUUUCUCGCGGCAUUUGCUCGCUUCGUCCGUUGACAUAGCUUCUCAUCAAAAUUAAUGAGCGAUAACAGCAAAUUCUUCAUUGUGGCCCAAAGAGCCACUGAAGACCAGUUUGUAAAUUUUGUUAAACAAGUCUCUCCUGAGAUUAUACAAAAGUGCGCUCCCCAAAGAACCAACUUUAAUUUUGUACAGUUCACUACAAUAUUAAUUCGAAUUGAAGCGGUUUUCAACUCAUGGCUACCCACAACACUCUCUCAAUUUCCUUCAGAGAUCGCAGCCCUUACCCUAGAGCAUUUUCUUAAGGAAGCUCCCAUUCUGGCCAGGCAUCUAGCCGCUAUCUUUAUUAAAACGAUGGGAAAGAAAAAAUCAAUUUUCGAUCACAAUUUUAGAGUAUAUAAGAGAUGGAAGAGUUCUGAAAAGGAUGACUGCUUGAGCUAAGCCUCCCCCUCAAUGCACUGCACUGUACGCCAAUACAUCACACUAACACAAUCCACUCAUGAAGACACCACAUACAAAUACACACAACCCUACACCACCCAUGAAGACACCACACAGCCAUACACCCAAGUCGCUACACGCCACAAGAUGACAUUACCCAACGAUCUUUCCGGACUGACCGGGAACCAUAGACUCAUCAGAUGUUGUCAUCGCCCUUACCUCUGCACCAUAGAACGGGAAUACGGAGUGACUACCUUAUCCAUACAAAAGUGAGUUCGGACAACAAUGAGCAAACAAGUGCUAGGGGCGUAAACCAGAGCCAAAGAGAGACAAACGAGCACCAGCAGCACCAGCACUUUACAGCCUAGCUGCCCAACACUACAACUAGAUUAAAAAGGAGGUACCAACGAGAUAAGCAAAGCAAUAAGUCGGAUUUCGCCCGAGUCGUACAUGUGUUGACCAAAUUAACACCCUACAUAUCCUUGACGAGUUAAAGGACAAAUUGCAGUCGACUCUUCAACUCUAGAAAUGGAGGAAAUCCUGAGAAGCUUAAUGCCUAUGUAGCUUGUCGGUGGCUUUGUACAGAGUUCCACAGAUGCAAGCGCAGAGAAAUCUCACAUAUGCCGUUGACAUUCGCUUAUUGCCUGUAAAACACUCCGACAUGCGAGCAAAAUGUAAGGAUCUACACGCUGUGUCGCGUAGGAUUGGUUCAAAAAUUAACAACGACCAGACAAUGUUAGUGAAAACAAUGGAUUCAGUUCAGAGAUAUAAUGGUCACCACAAAUCGUUUCUAUGAGAAGACUUCCGGAGAUAAGCUGUAGUUCAUUUUCAAAUAAAUAUUUUUACUAAUAGUAAGUUUUAAGUACAUUUAAAAGAUAUCAUAAUAUGUGUCAAAUAUUUGGA